Molecule: long non-coding RNA, 496 nt
Filed under: Equus caballus (horse)
Lineage: Eukaryota; Metazoa; Chordata; Mammalia; Perissodactyla; Equidae
Description: lncRNA (ENSECAG00000041194.2)
Source: RNAcentral
UGUGUGUGUGUAUGUGUGUCCAUUAUAACCUUGGUCCAACUAAAAAUAAAGUGGGAUCGGAGCUGGCCGUCCCGCGGAGCAGCCCGAGAGGCUGCAAUCAGAGCAUUGUGAUUAGUGGUCAGAGCUGCUGUCAAAGGAGCGUGACCAGGUCAUCUUCCCCAGGACUACGGCAGCUCCAGUGAAGACAAAACGUAGGGCUUCUGUGACCUUUGCUAUUUCUAUUGUUAGGCUUUUAGUUUUAAUCCAAAAAUAUGCAGGAUUUACAGUUAUUGUUGUCAGAAACUUCCAGAAGAAUCAACAAAGUGAAGUGGAAAGAAGCACAUCAGGGAGGUCCGGCCUCGGGGUUUGGCCCCUGGUCUUCCAUCUGCUUGGAAUCUGCUUUGGACACGUAUCCGCCCGGCUUGUUGCAUGGCUUGACGAGAGGUGCUAGGUCUGUGCCUGGGAUCCAAAACUGCGAACCCUGGGCCGCUGAAGUGAAGCACACAAACUAAACCAC